UUUCCUGUGAUGGGAUCAGUCAGAUGCCUGCCUGGCCGCUCCCCCUGAGGGGACUUGGGCUCCUCUUAGCAUUGGCAGGCAGGAAUAAACUUCCGGCUCAGAUCGAGCUAUGCCUGAUGCUGCCUUAAGCCUUAUGAGGUCGCCACGGAACCGCAGAAACUCCUGGAGGGCAGAUGCAUGCCUGCCAUCUUCAUCGUUUCAUUACCACCAUCCAACACUAUCGGGGGACCUGCCCUGAUAAUCAGUCUACAGGUGUAUCCAGCAGCUCCAGAGAGACAGCGACCAGCGAGAAGGGGCCAUGAUGAUGGUGGUGGUUUUGUCAAAAUGAAAAGGGGGAUAUGUAGGGAAAAGAAAGAGAGAUCAGACUGUUACUGUGUCUACAUAGAAAGGGAAGCCAUAAGAGACUCCAUUUUG
Molecule: long non-coding RNA, 414 nt
Filed under: Homo sapiens (human)
Lineage: Eukaryota; Metazoa; Chordata; Mammalia; Primates; Hominidae
Description: HSALNT0344850
Source: RNAcentral